This is a long non-coding RNA of Scylla paramamosain (green mud crab), 2155 nucleotides long. RefSeq lists it as uncharacterized. NCBI's taxonomy places the organism in Eukaryota, Metazoa, Arthropoda, Malacostraca, Decapoda, Portunidae. The transcript has 3 exons. The record is from RefSeq and is a predicted model, not a curated record.
AUUCUUUCUAGCAUGGACAAGCCGGUACGGUUGGCAUCCCUGGCUAUGGUGGCACUUGUGGUGGUGGUAGCCCUGACUACGAUGGCGAUGGUGGUUGAGAGUGCCUCGGUGCGAGAACGUAAACCCACAAACCACUCCAAUAACACUUCAGUCAUUGCAGUGCCUUCAGAUCUACUGGUGCGCCUAGUGGAGGUGACACAAUCCCUUCAUAACUUGCUGCCGCGCCGGAGUGUAAGCGACGGAAACAUUGAGGCGACCCAAGAGACCGCUGGGCUAAAAGGUGCGUCUGGUGAGGAGCGGAUUCUUACACUUGCACUGACACAACAUGCGCUGCUGCAACACAGAAUGGAGGAACUACAACUACUACCAUUACUACUUCUACUAAUUAUAUUGCUGCUAUUACUUCUGUUCUACUGCUACUACUACUACUACUACUACUACUCAAAGGAGACUAUGUAGCCAGCUGUCAUUCAUUAUAUACUGACACAACAUGCUCUCCUUAACAGAUGAUCUUGGAACCUCAGGGAAAACAACAUGCAGCAAGUGAGUUGGAAUGGCUAGAACCAGAGGAUGGGGGUGUGCGUCCAGGGAGUUGAGGAGUGCCACUGCUUCAACUGAUGUGUGGGACCUUGAGGCAGAGGGUCCACCAGGUGUGUGUGUGUGUGUGUGUGUGUGUGUGUGUGUGUGUGUGUGUGUGUGUGUGUGUGUGUGUGUGUGUGUGUGUGUGUGUGUGUGUGUGUGUGUGUGUGAAUGUUUUCCUACUUGUGGUGAAUGGUAAGGAAAAAGUGUGUGGUGGUGUGUGGUGUGGCCUUGCUUGUGGCAGAUGCAUUGGGGAGUGUGUGGUGGUGUGUGGUGUGACCUUGCUUGUGGCAGAUGCACUGGGGAGUGUGUGGUGGUGUGUGGUGUGACCUUAGUAACUUAACUUCUUAGUAACUUGUUUGAUAAUGGACUCCCUUGAAAACUGAUGACAAAAAUAGAAUGCUAGGUAUAGAAAAUGCGCCCAGAUUAUUAGUAUGAAAUAUCUGGGGAUUAAUUCGCUAGCAAACUAACACUAGACAAGAAACGUGACACGGAAAAAGAGAAGUUUGAAAAGUGUGACAGUAUGAGAGCUGCCGAGGUUUAGUAGGUGAGUGGGUGGGCGCGGGCGUGAGAGUGUGUGUGUGUGUGUGGGCUGAGAGUCCGUGCGUGUGUGUGGGCGUGAGAGUCCGUGCGUGAGCGUGGGCGUGAGAGUGCGCGUGCGUUGGCGUGAGAGUGCAUGUGGAUGUGCGUGGGAGAGUGCGUGGGCGUGGGCGUGAGAGAGCGUGUGCGUGCGUGGGCGUAGGCGUGCGUGUGUGUGUGUGCGUGGGCGUGAGUGCGUGUGCGUGCGUGGGCGUGGGCGUCCGAGACUGUGUGUGCGUGGGCGUGAGUGCGUAUGUGUGUCCAUGGGCGUGAGAGUGCGUGUGCGUGAGAGUGCGUGGGCGUGAGAAUGCGUGUGCGUGAGAGUGCGUGGGCGUGCGGGUGUUUGUGCAUGGGCGUGAGUGCGAGUGCGUGCGUGGGCGUGAGAGUGCGUGUGCGUGCGUGGGCGUGAGUGCAUGUGCGUGAGUGCGUGGACGUGCGAGUACGUGUGUGCAUGGGCGUGAGUGCGAGAGCGUGCGUGGGCGUGAGAGUGCGUCUGCGUGGGCGUGAUUGCGUGUGCGUGCGUGGGCAUGAGUGUGUGUGCGUGCGUGGGCGUGAGUGGGUGUGCUAGGGCGUGGGCACUAGUGCGUGUGCAUACGUGGGCACGAGAGUGCGUAUGCGUGGGUGUGAGUGCGUGUGCGUGCGUGGGUGUGAGUGCGUGUGCGUGAGACGUGCGUGGGCGUGCGAGUGUGUGCGUGGACGUGAGAGUGCGUGUGCGUGGGCCUGAGUGCGUGUGCGUGUGCGUGAGUGCGUGUGUGAGUGAGUGGGCGUGUGCGUAAAUGUGCGUGCGUUUGCAUGAGUGCGUGUGCGUGGGCGUGAGUGCGUGUUCGUAGGAGUGAGAGUGAGUGCGUGGGCGUGAGAGCGCGUGUGCGUGCGUGGGCGCGAGUGCGUGGGCAUCAGAGUGCGUGUGCGUGCGUGGGCGUGAGUGCGUGGGCGUGCGAAUGUGUGUGUGUGCGUGGGCGUGAGUGCGUAUGCGUGCUUGGGUGUGGGCGUGUGUGUG